AGCCGAGCGGUAGAGAUUCUUCGGAAUCUUGAGAGCGGCGUACGGGUGCGGAACACGUGUGCAACCUACCUUUAUCAGGGGGAUAGCCUUUCGAAAGGAAGAUUAAUACCCCAUAAUAUAUUGAAUGGCAUCAUUUAAUAUUGAAAACUCCGGUGGAUAGAGAUGGGCACGCGCAAGAUUAGAUAGUUGGUAGGGUAACGGCCUACCAAGUCAAUGAUCUUUAGGGGGCCUGAGAGGGUGAUCCCCCACACUGGUACUGAGACACGGACCAGACUCCUACGGGAGGCAGCAGUGAGGAAUAUUGGACAAUGGGUGAGAGCCUGAUCCAGCCAUCCCGCGUGAAGGACGACGGCCCUAUGGGUUGUAAACUUCUUUUGUAUAGGGAUAAACCUACUCUCGUGAGAGUAGCUGAAGGUACUAUACGAAUAAGCACCGGCUAACUCCGUGCCAGCAGCCGCGGUAAUACGGAGGGUGCAAGCGUUAUCCGGAUUUAUUGGGUUUAAAGGGUCCGUAGGCGGAUCUGUAAGUCAGUGGUGAAAUCUCAUAGCUUAACUAUGAAACUGCCAUUGAUACUGCAGGUCUUGAGUAAAGUAGAAGUGGCUGGAAUAAGUAGUGUAGCGGUGAAAUGCAUAGAUAUUACUUAGAACACCAAUUGCGAAGGCAGGUCACUAUGUUUUAACUGACGCUGAUGGACGAAAGCGUGGGGAGCGAACAGGAUUAGAUACCCUGGUAGUCCACGCCGUAAACGAUGCUAACUCGUUUUUGGGUCUUCGGAUUCAGAGACUAAGCGAAAGUGAUAAGUUAGCCACCUGGGGAGUACGUUCGCAAGAAUGAAACUCAAAGGAAUUGACGGGGGCCCGCACAAGCGGUGGAUUAUGUGGUUUAAUUCGAUGAUACGCGAGGAACCUUACCAAGGCUUAAAUGGGAAUUGACAGGUUUAGAAAUAGACUUUUCUUCGGACAAUUUUCAAGGUGCUGCAUGGUUGUCGUCAGCUCGUGCCGUGAGGUGUUAGGUUAAGUCCUGCAACGAGCGCAACCCCUGUCACUAGUUGCCAUCAUUCAGUUGGGGACUCUAGUGAGACUGCCUACGCAAGUAGAGAGGAAGGUGGGGAUGACGUCAAAUCAUCACGGCCCUUACGCCUUGGGCCACACACGUAAUACAAUGGCCAGUACAGAGGGCAGCUACCAGGCGACUGGAUGCGAAUCUCGAAAGCUGGUCUCAGUUCGGAUUGGAGUCUGCAACUCGACU
This 1248-nucleotide ribosomal RNA is filed under the name Chryseobacterium sp. RNAcentral describes it as "bacterial SSU rRNA". It matches the Rfam family "Bacterial small subunit ribosomal RNA", at positions 60 to 1317 of the family's 1533-position model. Lineage: Bacteria; Pseudomonadati; Bacteroidota; Flavobacteriia; Flavobacteriales; Weeksellaceae. The record is from RNAcentral.